UGAACUGAGCCCUGGAGGGGGCUCGGACAAGACAACGUCCCUGGAAGCCGCCUGGCGGUUCGCGGCUAGACCACCGAUCUCUGCGGCUCCGGGGAGGAGUGAACGUUAACCCUGGAGCGAAACCAGCGCCUCCUAGUCUGGUCCUAACGACUGUGGGAAAGCUGAGGACAGAGCGGAGCUGAACAUUCCCAGAAGGAGUCUGCGCAGCUGAGACAGCUCUCCUUCAGCGAGUGCUGUAUGGAGUUCAUGGGACAAACGCUCCAUGGCAAGAAUCUCCGAGCAUCUGAAGAGCACCCUGCAGGCUGACCCUGGACCAGCUGCAGAAGCAGCCUGGUUCAGACAGGUUCAGCUCAGGGAGCACCUCCAGCAGACAGGCCUCAUGAAGCUGUGAGCUGUGACAGAAUCUGUUAUCUUUUAUUGGGGAUGCUUCGGUUGCCGAGAUGUCCGGGGGCGUCGGCCAAACACGUUGGGUACUGGUGUUCACAAGGUAUCAGAGAGGCAACUUCCUUGAUAACGCAUUAAUGCCGAAUCAACUUACACCUUACCGUGGCAUGUGAAAAGUUUGAGGAACCUUUUAAAUGAGGGUUUUCUGAGACCUGAUGCAGCCAGGUCAGAUCAAGAUCUUUCCACAGAAG
This is a non-coding RNA of Electrophorus electricus (electric eel), 635 nucleotides long. The record is from RefSeq and is a predicted model, not a curated record. Lineage: Eukaryota; Metazoa; Chordata; Actinopteri; Gymnotiformes; Gymnotidae.